Molecule: long non-coding RNA, 383 nt
Filed under: Mytilus galloprovincialis (Mediterranean mussel)
Lineage: Eukaryota; Metazoa; Mollusca; Bivalvia; Mytilida; Mytilidae
Source: RNAcentral
GUGUCCCUUAUAUUGUCGAACUUCCGGUGUUCGUUUGAGUCAAACUACGUGUAUCUCGAAAUAUUUCUCUGGUCCGGUUGACUUCGACAUAACGAGAGUCGACUGUAUAUAUUUUUCAUUGAUUUUCUCUUCAACUUCUUUGACUAAGUGUUUCAAAUCAAUGAAAUCUUUGUAACUUGCUGUCUAUAACUGCUGGUUUAAUAACAAGUUCUGGAAUUAUGUCCCUUUGUUUACUGAUGGACACACUUGUUCAAUCUUUGACAAUUUUUACAAAUUCUUAAAAUAAAAGAUCUGAUUAAAUGCAGAUUCUUAUUUUAAAUUGAGAUGAAUCUACCCCAGUAAAUAGACAUGAAGGGUUUCUAGUAAACUCUUCCAAAAUCAAG